Molecule: ribosomal RNA, 551 nt
Filed under: uncultured bacterium
Lineage: Bacteria
Description: bacterial SSU rRNA
Rfam family: Bacterial small subunit ribosomal RNA
Source: RNAcentral
AGAGUUUGAUCCUGGCUCAGGACGAACGCUGGCGGCGUGCCUAAUACAUGCAAGUCGAGCGAGCGGAACUAACAGAUUUACUUCGGUAAUGACGUUAGGAAAGCGAGCGGCGGAUGGGUGAGUAACACGUGGGGAACCUGCCCCAUAGUCUGGGAUACCACUUGGAAACAGGUGCUAAUACCGGAUAAGAAAGCAGAUCGCAUGAUCAGCUUUUAAAAGGCGGCGUAAGCUGUCGCUAUGGGAUGGCCCCGCGGUGCAUUAGCUAGUUGGUGAGGUAACGGCUCACCAAGGCGACGAUCAGUAGCCGGACUGAGAGGUUGAACGGCCACAUUGGGACUGAGACACGGCCCAGACUCCUACGGGAGGCAGCAGUGGGGAAUAUUGGGCAAUGGGCGCAAGCCUGACCCAGCAACGCCGCGUGAAGGAUGAAGGCUUUCGGGUUGUAAACUUCUUUUAUCAGGGACGAACAAAAUGACGGUACCUGAUGAAUAAGCCACGGCUAACUACGUGCCAGCAGCCGCGGUAAUACGUAGGUGGCAAGCGUUAUCCGG